GGAAGGGUCUUAAUAAGUCGUCAUGCCGAGCAAGAGUGAGGGUCUCUUUGUGACCUCAGUAGUGUACGUAUACUACUUCCAUCGCGUUCCUCCCUGGAGGGGAGGCAUCCUCCCCAGGACAGCCUGGUGUUUCAGCUGUGCUUGUUGCUGAUCAUUAUGAGACAAUGACAACAGUGUUGAAAUUGGCAGAGAGAGUGGCUGCAUUCCAAGCCAACUAUUGAGGCAACAUGAACAUUGGGAUUUUCCACAUGAUUCAAUUAGCACAGAUUUGGAAGGACAUUGAACCAGGACAGUCUUGAUCCCGCGUGGAACAUGAUCACUAAUUUCAACAUUCAAAAGAAUGAGCAUUACUUCCCAACCACAAAGGAUCCCCAAACUGGGAAGGAAUGGAUCUGCAACUCAUUUGUGAAUAAGCCAGGUGAUUCCACUUUGCCAUGCUUGAGGAUCAACUGCUUGAGACUGCACAUGCUGGUGGCCUUAAAAUUUUGAGAACAGCUGCUCUAUGAAGAUCUAAGCUUUGCAAGAAAGAGGAAGUAAGAGAGUAAUUUUGUAUGAUGAAAUUACUGUUCUUGUUCCCAGAAUACAAACACCUGGACACAAAGUAUUUAUAUAAGAAAAAAGAAAUAAGAUAGGUGAAAAUUAAAG
Chinchilla lanigera (long-tailed chinchilla) is the source of this 645-nucleotide long non-coding RNA. Ensembl lists it as uncharacterized. The record is from Ensembl. NCBI's taxonomy places the organism in Eukaryota, Metazoa, Chordata, Mammalia, Rodentia, Chinchillidae.